Molecule: small nuclear RNA, 163 nt
Organism: Erinaceus europaeus (western European hedgehog)
Lineage: Eukaryota; Metazoa; Chordata; Mammalia; Eulipotyphla; Erinaceidae
Gene: U1
Rfam family: U1 spliceosomal RNA
About the family: U1 is a small nuclear RNA (snRNA) component of the spliceosome (involved in pre-mRNA splicing).
Source: Ensembl
CACAUUACCUGGUAAAGGAGAGACCAUGAUCAGGCAGGUGGUUUUCCCAGGUGAGGCUUGUCCAUUGCACUUGCGAUUUGUUGACCCCUGGCAUUUCCCCAUAUGUGGCAAACUUUACUGUAUGAUUUGUGUUAGUGGGGGACUGCGUGAGUGCUCUCCUCUA